This 459-nucleotide ribosomal RNA is filed under the name uncultured bacterium. Its description in RNAcentral is "partial 16S ribosomal RNA". It matches the Rfam family "Bacterial small subunit ribosomal RNA", at positions 339 to 795 of the family's 1533-position model. The record is from RNAcentral.
CUACGGGCUGCUGCAGUGAGGAAUAUUGGUCAAUGGGCGAAAGCCUGAACCAGCCAUGCCGCGUGAAGGAUGACAGCGCUACGCGUUGUAAACUUCUUUUGUACGGGAAGAAACACUUCUACGUGUAGAAGCUUGACGGUACCGUACGAAUAAGCAUCGGCUAACUCCGUGCCAGCAGCCGCGGUAAUACGGAGGAUGCAAGCGUUAUCCGGAUUUAUUGGGUUUAAAGGGUACGUAGGCGGAAAAUUUAGUCAGUGGUGAAAUCCCGCAGCUUAACUGUGGAACCGUCAUUGAUACUGGUUUUCUUGAAUGUAGUUGAGGUAGGCGGAAUGUGUAAUGUAGCGGUGAAAUGCUUAGAUAUUACACAGAACACCGAUUGCGAAGGCAGCUUACUAAGCUACGAUUGACGCUGAGGUACGAAAGCGUGGGGAGCGAACAGGAUUAGAUACCCUUGUAGUC